Molecule: ribosomal RNA, 439 nt
Filed under: uncultured bacterium
Lineage: Bacteria
Description: partial 16S ribosomal RNA
Rfam family: Bacterial small subunit ribosomal RNA
Source: RNAcentral
CCUACGGGGGACAGCAGUGGGGAAUAUUGCACAAUGGGCGAAAGCCUGAUGCAGCAACGCCGCGUGAGCGAUGAAGGCCUUCGGGUCGUAAAGCCCUGUCCUCAAGGAAGAUAAUGACGGUACUUGACGAGGCAGCCCCGGCUAACUACGUGCCAGCAGCCGCGGUAAUACGUAGGGGGCUAGCGUUAUCCGGAAUUACUGGGCGAAAAGGGUGCGUAGGUGGGUUAUUAAGUCAGAGGUGAAAGGCUACGGCUCAACCGUAGUAAGCCUUUGAAACUGGGGAACUUGAGUGCAGGAGAGGAAGGUGGAAUUCGUGGUGUAGCGGUGAAAUGCGUAGAUAUCAGGAGGAACACCGGUUGCGAAGGCGGCUCUCUGGACUGUAACUGACGCUGAGGCACGAAAGCGUGGGGAGCAAACAGGAUUAGAUACCCUAGUAGUC